Long non-coding RNA from Sinocyclocheilus rhinocerous, 444 nucleotides. RefSeq lists it as uncharacterized. NCBI's taxonomy places the organism in Eukaryota, Metazoa, Chordata, Actinopteri, Cypriniformes, Cyprinidae. The transcript is spliced from 3 exons. The record is from RefSeq and is a predicted model, not a curated record.
UAUGUCUCCCCAGUGCCUCUCUCGCUCCGCACCGUUCUUCGCGCUAGUGGCGGGGCUUCUCUCCCGCGUCUGCUGUGGUAGACGUUUCUUUGGAUUUCCUCAGCACUCUCUGUUUUUCACGCCUGUGGGAUUAGACUGAGCAGAAGAAGAAGGUUUGUCUGUCUUUUUGGGGACGAGCGGACAAGAAUGCAGCAGAUUCCUCAGACAGAAGCAAGCGCCAAUCUGUAUAUGUUUUGGGUUGGUAGUAAAACCAAAGAGGUAGCAAGACCCCAGACUGUGUUGGAGUGAGAUGCACUGACUCCUGGCAAACUGCAGCAUUCCUUGUCAUCCUCCGCUCUCUUCCGAGGCUUUGGCCAGUCAUGCGGUUACUACGGAAAAUCCUCAUCCUUUUGGGUGCUUGCCUUAAUAUGAGCUGCAGGUAUCAGAGUAAUGCCCUGGAUAUUC